RNAcentral lists this ribosomal RNA (277 nucleotides) under uncultured bacterium. Its description in RNAcentral is "partial 16S ribosomal RNA". It matches the Rfam family "Bacterial small subunit ribosomal RNA", at positions 28 to 304 of the family's 1533-position model. The record is from RNAcentral.
GAUAAACGCUGGCGGCGUGCCUAACACAUGCAAGUCGAACGCUCUAUCGUCUUUCGGGACGGCAGAGAGUGGCGAACGGGUGAGUAACGAAUCGCUAACGUGCCCCGGACUCUGGGAUAGCUGCCCGAAAGGGCAGGUAAUACCGGAUGACAUAACCGAUCCGCAUGGGUUGGUUCUCAAAGGUCCGCCGGUCUGGGAGCGGGCGAUUUCGUAUCAGCUAGUUGGUGAGGUAACGGCUCACCAAGGCGACGACGCGUAGCCGGACUGAGAGGUUGGC